Long non-coding RNA from Marmota monax (woodchuck), 6664 nucleotides. RefSeq lists it as uncharacterized. The record is from RefSeq and is a predicted model, not a curated record. The transcript has 3 exons. Lineage: Eukaryota; Metazoa; Chordata; Mammalia; Rodentia; Sciuridae.
GGCACGCAGGCCGCUGUCGUCAGCUAAGGAUGUGAGGCGCCAGGAAGAGCCACACGGGCCCACGAAUGACCACCGUGUCCUAGCAGAGCCCGUGUGGGAGGUCCUCAUGUGUACGUGAGUGGACCAGCAUCCUCAUUCAGACACACCGCCACAGAGACUUCCAGAAACAACAGGGAAGCUGACUUCUCUGGGGUGACGCACGGGGACUGGCACACCAAGGUCAGCCUCCCUCCCCCACUGUCCCCACCUGGGCCUGCCAGCCACAGGCAGCUCCCUCCGCAUGGUAUAGCCAGGGGCAGGGCGGGACCCACAAGGUUUAGGCUAAUGGCAGGUAGUGGUCAGAAUUUAGACGAGACUCUCGGACUCCUGGGAUCCCAUCCUGCUCCCACCUCCAGACUCCCCCUCCACACCCCUCUGCCAGGUCCUGCCCCACCAGGGUGAGGGCCCUGUUCUAAGGGGCUGCGCGGCUGUUCCUACGAGGCCUGCGCACGGGUAUGAGGGGUCCUUGCUGGAGGUGCAGCCGGCAGUCGGAGCUGUUGGAGGCAGAGCUGCCUGCUGGCCUGGGACGGGCACAGGGACCUCUUCACCAGGGCUCUGAGGAGACGCACGCCCUGGGGCUGCAGAGUGGGACCUGGACAUGCCGUGUGGGCGUGCGUGGGCUGAUCCCGUGCACAGGCUUGCACACAUGUCUGUGCACACAAAGGAAGGGAGGAGGAUGAGGAAGGGUCUUCCCUCAGCCCUCCCCAGAAACCCACACCCGGUAUGUAUGGGAAGAGGUGUCCUGACCGUGGAAGAAAGGAAGGAAGUUGGCUCCCUGCCCACAGGGAGGGAGGCAGGUACAUGAGGUUGGAUGUGACCACUAUGGAGACAGGCAGCACCCUGCCUCCACAAGGCAUCUCACCCUCCACCCACCCUGGUCACUGCGAGCAAACAUGGCUGAGCGAGGCCAGGUGGGAGGCGACGCUGAUUAAUUCUGGACACUGCAGCGUGGUGGGUUAAUGUAUGCCAGGCGAGGGGGGGGGGCCAAGGCUCGCCAACCAAGGUCAGCAGAUUAGUAUAUUGAUCAAAGAGCUGCCUUUUACCUCCCUCCUCUCAAAGAGCCUUCUGGUCCUUUGCCCUGAAGCUGGCCAGGGCCUCUGGGGAAUGAGAGGUCCACCCUGCGGGCUACCCUGCCUGCUGGCCCCUGGCCCUGGCCUUGUUCUGACCUGCUGUGUAGCACAGAGCCCCAGGGGCGAGUUGCUCCCCUUCUCUGCAGGAUGGAGCCUCCACACCUCCUCCCCGGGGUUCCCAGCACUGUGUCCUCCAGGGCCAUGCUGUCUGGACACCAGCCAGUGGCCACUCCAUGCUAUUGGCCAGAGCUUCAUCUGGAGGAGCCACAGCACUGUCCACGGUGCCCUCUAGCUGGUCCCCUGCUCAUGCAGUUCACUCAUUAUUCAUUCACUGUGCUCAGCGGACAGGACAGGACUGGGGAAUGAGGUUGGCCGGAAGCUGAGCACAGGAGAGGCUGGGCUCUGCCUCAGACGGGUCAGUCUCCCCCUGGCCACUAGCACGGAAAAACUCCCUCAGGCUCUCUGUCCGAGGUCUCCUUCCCCUAGAUGGGGUGACCUCAUUUUAGGGAAGAAAUAGUCAAUGAGAUAAUGUGCAAGUGCCCUGGAUAGCUCUGAUCAAUUGUGACCCAGCAAUCUCACGUCUGGGUACGAACCUGGGAGAACUGGCAUGCCCAGCCGCGCUCACAGGGCCUCAUUCACAAAGCCAAGAUGGAGAAGCGGCUCGUGCGUGGGCGGAGACUGGACGGCUGGCAACAGGGUGUGGUCCCUGCACCGUGGGCCGCUCCUCGGGCUGAGGCAGGAAGGGCCGCCACUCAGGCGGGCCUGGAAGACACGCGGUGAAUGAACGCUGGGGACGAACCCGGGGCCUCACACACGCCGGCACACGCUCCACCACUGAGCUGCACCCCACACACGAUUUUCCAAAUAUUUUUGGCCUGUGGUUGGUUGACUCUGAAGGAGAGAAACCCAGAGGACCCCCUGAAGUUCUGAGUUACCUGUCACUUCUCAAGCAUUGGGCCUGCCCACCCGUCCUAGGGUGACAUGGAGUUGACCUCUUCCUUCCUGGAGUAAGACUGUGGCCAGGCGGCUUGGGCAUAUGGGAGAGGGGCCCCACCCCCGCCCCAUGCUGACCUCAGAACCCAGGCUCCUGGGAACCCACACCCCAGGCAGAGGCUCCGCUGUGGCAGCUGGCCGCCAGCCCAGCUCCUGAUGGUCCCCUGGGUCCCCUACUCCAAGGCCGGAGAGAGAGGAAGCCAUUCAGCCUGCAGGUGGGGCUGGUGGUCCCCAUCCCCAGGGACCCCGGCUGCCAUUGCCAGGGACAAGGUUGCACUGAAAAGCCACUUCGGGCUGGGAGGAGGAGGGGGGCAUCGAGGGGAUGGAAGAGUGGCAAGAGGGUGGGUCACGGGUGGCUUCCUGGGCCCACGCAGCCCCCCGGACUCGACUGCAGAGCUGGGCCCAGAAACCUGCACAUUUCCAGAGCUCCCAGGGAUCCUCACCCACACCCACGCCAGAUGUGAGCCACCGGCCGAUCCUGUCCCCUUUGGCAGGGGGACUCUGAAUUCCCGUCUCCAUGUGCAGAGUGAGACCCAGAGGACGGGGCUGGGGCAGCAGAGGGGGGGAUCCACGGGUGCACACGGCCACUGAAGCUGCUCCUCCUAGCAUCGUCCUGGUCACCCCAGAGCCACCUGCCCAGAGGGACCAAGGCUGGCAGCCCCCCAAAGGGAGAACCCUCCCCCUCCCACCAGGGGCUCCCAGGAGGCUUUGCUGCCACCCUGGCCUGUUUUCUGUACCUGUCUCUCUCUUCCCAGCCCCAGAUUUCAGAGGCAGCUGUCACCAGCAGGGAACCCAGGACAUCCUGGGACUCAGCUGAUUGGCCUCUUGAUGACGAUGCCCAAGGGCAGCAACCUCCCUGGGAUCAGCCACAGGUGCAGGACGAAGCCCCUCCUCCCACCAUGUCCUUAACCCCCUAAACACCUGCAAGCUCACAGUGCACGUCACAGAUGAAGAGACUGCAGCUCAGAGAGGCCACAGGACCUGCCAGCAGAAACUGACGUGGACCUGCACCUGGCGGGGCUCCGGGCCUGCUGUGUCUGUGCAGGCCAAGCCGAACCCCAGGGUCCAGUUCACUGCCCACUGCCCGCAACUCAGCAGAGAAAGGCCACUAAGUCCCAGGAUAGGAGAGAGGAGUCCAACACACACCGAGACUGACGGCUGCCUCCAGCCCAAGUGCCAGGGACAAUGCCAGGCAGCUGUGUCCUGCUGGAAAGACAAUCAGGGUGUCCAGGCCCCUAAUGCCCCAAUUGAAGGUCACCUUGGCUGGCCUUGUGCAGACCUCAGCCAGGAGAGGCCUGAGCCUUACCAGGAGGAGAAGCCCAGGCGCUCGCAGCAUCUGCUGGCCGGACUGUUUGACAGGCAGCUGCCAGCCCUGGGUCAGUGCCAGCUGGCCUCAGGGUCCCUGCCACAGCUUUCCUUCAGAAUUCCCAGGAGCCCUGAGAGCUGCCACCACCUGGAUGCCACCCCAGCCUCCUGGUGUGGCCUGGUGUCCAGCUCUCAAAGUUGCCAGGUGACUCUCACUUGCACCAGGCUGAAAGGUGGGGCGGGCGGUCCCCAUUCUCUGGGCGGGUCCCUCUGGAAGCUUAGCCCAGACAAGGCCCCAUGGGUGGACUCUCUCAAGUGCUGGCUCCCCUGACCCCGUAGUCUAGUCAGCGGCUGCCGUCCACGCAGCCAGAGGCGGGGCUGUGCCCCCCUGCUCCUGCCCUGGGCACCUGCAGGUCGGAGCGUCCCUCGCGGGCAGCUGCCGGCCUCCUCCAGGCCUCCUGCUGCCCGCUGGCCCCCUCUCCUCCUCUAUUAGGAGUCUCUCCUUGUUUUUCAGCACGUGGCUAAGAAGCGUCCUUCUCAGGAAAAUCUCCCUGACCCUCCCAAGUGCGUGUCCAGCUCCCUGACUCCUGGCCCCAGGGUCAAGGGCAGGGAGCAGGUGCUUCCUAGAAGAGCUCCCUGUGGGGCAGGGCCUCUGUGGCUAUUUACCAGGUGGGGACACCUGACAGGCCUUUGGUCCCUGAAACCCAGGGGCUGCCAGAGGGGACACAUGCUCUGAGGCACCAGCCCCAAGCCUUGGUCAGCUGUGUCCUGCUGGGAGGACAGGCAGGAGGGCGGCUCUCCCCUCUGCUACUCUGGCCCUGUCCCUGACCACAGGUGCCAUCUGUCUGCUGGGCCUCAGGCUGUUUCCCCACACCCCAGCCUCCCAGCUGGGUCUCUUGCAGGGGCCAGUGAUCUAUCUAAUCCCUUAAUCAUCGUUGCUCCCUGAGGUCGAGAUCCACAAACAAAGGCUCCUGCGCCCUGGGCUUCUUGCUGCUUGUCCUGGUUGAUUUCUCUGUCUCACGGCAGAGCUGAGUCCAGGGGGUUAGAGUUGUCCCAGGAAGCUCCACACAAAGUCCUCUUCUGCCCAUGGAGGCCUGGGAACUGGCUGAAAGGGGCCAGGGACCUGGGGGGACGGGGACAGGAGCCCGCAAUAGGGCCGGGUGGGCGGAGGCGGAGUGCCUGCCAGCCCUUGGUCUUGCCUGCUCUCCGGGGCACUGGCUCCUGCCAGCUCCUCACGCCCCCAGGUCUAUGCAGAGCCUGGGGCCUGGAUAGUGUCCGACAGCAGGUUUUAGACUGUACAUCAGAGUGUUCUGAGGGGUGUAAGAGAACCCGGGAAACCCCUCCCACCCUCCAGGCCUCCAGGGUAAGGCUACCAGAUUCAGCAAAUGAAGUUUCAGGAAGCUAAACCUGAAUUUCAGAUAAACAACAAAUGAUGUUUAGGAUACCCUGUCUCACGGGUACCCUGUCUCACGGGUACCCUGCCUCACGGGUACCCUGUCUCAUGCAUUAUUUAAGGUAGAGCUAUACUAAAAACUUAGGGUGUCCUUCUGAUAUCAAGGUUCUCUGCAGAGGCUGGCUUUGUAUCUGACCACCUUUCUCUCAGGCCUCCAGCCUGUCCCCAGCGGUGGCCCUGGGAACUCCCAGGAGCUUCACGACACUGAGUACAAACCAGUGCCCUCUCUGGACUCCUCCUCAAGUGGGCAAGUGAUCCCACAGGCCACACUGUCUUCCAGAGGGGCUUACAGCCAAUAGCAGCAGACAAAAGAGUAUAGUCAGGUCUCCUGACUUACCCACUGGCCAUCUGUCUGUCUAUCAAUAUACCCAUCCAUCCAUCCAUCCAUCCACUUACCUACCUAUCAUCCAUCAAUCCAUUGAUCCAUCCAUCCACCAAUCCACCCACUAUUAAUUCAUCUAUCAAACUAUUUACUCUCCCACUCUCCCAUCCAUCCAUCUAUCCAUCCAGUCGGCCAGCCGUCUAGCCAUCCAUCCAUCUAUCCACCAUCAUCUACCCAUCCACUCACCUUUCCAUCCAUCCAUCCAUCGAUCCAUCAAUCCAUUGAUCCAUCCAUCUAACAAUCAACCCACUAUUAAUUAAUCUAUCAAACUGUUUACUCUCCCACUCUCCCAAUCAUCCAUCCAUCCACCCAUCUACCAUCCACUCACCUAUCCAUCCAUCUAUCCAUCCAGCCAGCCAGCCAGCCAGAGAGCAAACAUUUAUCCAGAACCACCAGGCUCUGGGCCUUGUACAAGCUCCUGAGAGAACAGAAAUGAACAAGGUGGGUUUAAGUCCCCCGUGGUCUUCAUGAGCUUCUGGGGGAGCAGAUCAUAGCCCAGCAAGUGUCCUGGGGUAAGGGUAUGAUCCAGUGGGUGUAGAUCCUGUGCAGGGGAUACAAGCCCCCAUGUGGGGAGGGGCUGUCCCUGAAGGGGGUGCCUAGGCUGCGUCCUAAAGAGGAGAAACAUCUGCUGAGAAAAGUUCUCAGGGCAGUGGACCUGCAGGUGCCUGUAGCCCCGAGAAGUGCUGAGUCGGGGUCGGUUUCUGUCCCCACACGUACCCCAGUCUACACUCACACAACAUGGCACAGGGCCAGGUCUCUACUGAGUACCACUGCUGUUUCUGGAUCAGAGGGUUCUUUGUUGAGUCACCUCCCCAGCCUCUACCCCCAGAUACAACAGAGAAACAGACAGCACUCUGCACAUUGCCAAACACCUCCCGGGGAAUCUCGCCUAUCGAGAACCCGUCUUAGAGGCUGCUGCUGCGGGGCAAAGACCAAAGCAAGUGUGGGCUUCUCUUUCCAGGAGGUUCUAGAAGUUUCUUCCAGAAACUCAGGGACGCUGGAGUGAGUGUGUGAGUGAUUAAACAAAAAUCUGUUUCAACACUGCCCGACGGGAACACAAGCCAAGGCCUGGCAGUGUGUAACUAUCGCACAAAGGGUUAACCCCACAGACAAGACGGCUGCUCUUAAAUGUAUCUCAAUCACAGAUCUGUAUGUGCAUAUCAGCAGUCAGUGGCAUAUUGAAUUUUUUCACACUGUUUACCUAGCAUAAUUUGCAGUUGGUCUGUAUUUGAUUAAACACCAUCAUCUUUUAUGUACGAGUUACAUAAGUAAAUAGAAAAAUCAUUUACAGUCCGAUGCCCCAUGAAAAAUUGAUCUCUGGUCUGUCUGGCACCAACACUGGGAGUCGCUGGGGCCGUGUGGCUAAUUGGAUGUGGGGGGGUGAGGUGGCGUUUGAGGCGAGCCAGGCGCUUCAUUUCCUCG